GAGAGCAAUCUGGAGAACAGAAAGGUUUCCUCUGCCAGCUGGCGUCCCAAGCCCUGCAACCACAAAAGGCCUGUGGAGCCCAUCGAGACUGCGAAGUCGACAAAGAUCACAACAUCUCCAGGAAGGAGCCCACAGCAGGAGAGUCCCCUGCUUGUGACUAAGAGCAAAGAAGCAGUCGGUAUAUCAGGAGACCGCACGGAGUCACACACCUAGAAGACACGCUGCAGCUGGCUUGCCUUGUGAAUGGAAGGUCACAGCCAGCAAGGCUGUGAAGCGCUGGGAGGAAGAGCCUGCAGAAGAUGCAGCCGCUGACCUGAAAAACUAACCCAUGUGCCCCGUCUUUAAGGAUCAGACGGGCACAAUCUACUUGAUCAAGUUUUUGCUACUCCUGGGUACUGGUGAUGAUGGACAUUAGUCCUUCCUCUCUUCAGCUUCUGAAUCCCUGCAGGCUCAUCCAUACCUGAGAGGGCUCCCCAUUUGUAGAUGGGAUAGAUACCUGCAUCGGUCUCGCAGCAGCGAAGAGAGCCACAGUGACCCCCUACCCAGCUCCUCAGAUAUGGCACCAGCAAUGUUAGGGUUUAUCCUGGCCUGUGUCAUGAAACAGAUGAAGGGGGAAAUUUGCAAAUAUGGAUCACUACCCGAACUCCCCAGCAGGUGGCGCCAACACUCAGCAGCUGAGCCAAGGAUCCUGUCAUCCAGCUGGGAAGAGGCUAGAAGUGAGGGGCGGUUCCCUAUGCCCUUUUGAAAGCUGCUCCCCAGAGAAUCCCCUUUGACUACAGAGGGGGCGGAACGGAAGAGCCAGUUCCUCUCCCUGGAGCCAGCCUUAGACCAUGGCCAGGAGCCGACUCCAACCCACUGCAGCAGCAGCAGCCACAGACACAAGAGAUCAAAGACAAGCUGCUCCCAGAACCCUCCUGUUCACUUCUCCCCGCUGGGUGGAACGCGGCCCAGAGAACACAGCUCCAGGGCCCAGUCUCCUGUCUGCCAGCAGUGCCGGCUCUCCGCUGCUUCAGCGGGAGCGAACAAAACAGGGCGAUGGCGGAGCGAUCCGUCCCCUCUCGACCGGGCCCAGCGUCCGGCAGUCAGAGGUUUAGGGACACCUGCAGCAUGGGGUUGCGUCCAUAGGCGCCAGCUUCCUCUCUACCCCGGGUGGGGGGGAAGGGGAGCUCGAUCCUCCCUCCGCCCCACGCCCCGCCCCCACUCCACCCCUUCCCUUAAGCCCCCGUCCCGCCUCUUCCCGCCCUCGAUCCACUCCUUCUCCCAAGGCCACCCUCCGCCCUGCCUCUUCCUGCCCUCUCCCCGAAGCGUGCCCUGUCCCCGCUCCUCCCGCUCCCUCCCACAUGCCGCUGAACAACUGACCUGCGGUGGGCGGGAGCAUAGACGCCGACUCCGUGGGUGCUCCGGUGCUGGAGCAACCAUGGGGAAAAAUUAGGGCGUGCUCUGCACCC
Molecule: long non-coding RNA, 1448 nt
Organism: Chelonia mydas (Green sea turtle)
Lineage: Eukaryota; Metazoa; Chordata; Testudines; Cheloniidae
Exons: 3
Source: RefSeq, a predicted model, not a curated record